UGCAGUCGUGUGCUCCGAGUUCCUGUCUCUCUGCCAACAACGCCCGGAUGGCUUCCCAAAACCGCGACCCAGCAGCCACUAGCGUCACCGCCGCCCGUAAAGGAGCCGAGCUGAGCGGGGGCGCCGCCCGGGGUCCCGUGGGCAAAAGGCUACAGCAGGAGCUGAUGACCCUCAUGAGGUCUGGCGAUAAAGGGAUUUCUGCCUUCCCUGAAUCAGACAACCUUUUCAAAUGGGUAGGGACCAUUCAUGGAGCAGCUGGAACAGUAUAUGAAGACCUGAGGUAUAAGCUCUCACUAGAGUUCCCCGGUGGCUACCCUUACAAUGCGCCCACGGUGAAAUUCCUCACAUCCUGCUACCACCCCCAACGUGGACACCCAGGGUAGCAUAUGCCUGGACAUCCUGAAGGACAAGUGGUCUGCCCUAUAUGACGUCAGGACCAUUCUGCUCUCCAUCCAGAGCCUUCUAGGAGAACCCAACAUUGAUAGUCCCUUGAACACGCAUGCUGCCGAGCUCUGGAAAAACCCCACAGCUUUUAAGAAGUACCUGCAAGAAACCUACUCAAAGCAGGUCACCAGCCAGGAACCCUGACCCAGGAUGCCCAGCCUGUCCUCGUGUUGUCUUCUUAAUUUUUCUUUAGAUGGUCUGUCCUUUUCGUGAUUUCUGUAUAGGACUCUGUAUCUUGAGCUGUGGUAUUAUUUUUGUUUUGUUUUUGUCUUUUAAAUUAAGCCUCGGUUGAGCCCUUGUGAUGUAUAUUAAGUAAAAGCAUUUUGGUCCUUUUUUU
This is an RNA transcript of Cercocebus atys (sooty mangabey), 781 nucleotides long. It is a transcript of the gene named ubiquitin-conjugating enzyme E2 C-like, with no coding region annotated. Lineage: Eukaryota; Metazoa; Chordata; Mammalia; Primates; Cercopithecidae. The transcript has a single exon. The record is from RefSeq and is a predicted model, not a curated record.